Molecule: transfer RNA, 67 nt
Filed under: bovine gut metagenome
Rfam family: tRNA
About the family: Transfer RNA (tRNA) molecules are approximately 80 nucleotides in length.
Source: RNAcentral
CGGGUGUAGCUCAAUGGUAGAGCGUCGGCUUCCCAAGCCGAUUACGUGGGUUCGAUUCCCAUCACCC